UCACAUACACUGUGCGCAUCGUCGCGAAGAAUCGUUUCGUGCUGAUGUAGCUGGAACGAUCUUCGCGCGUUUAGACGAAGCGCGUCGCCGUCGCCUGUUCAGGUUGCACGGAGAGGAGCUUGUUCGGCGUGUGGGGUGAAGCACCUGCGAUAAAGGUCGCUUCGCUGCUACCUUCCGAGCACGCUGCAACGCGGACUCGAUACCGAGUACGCGCCUGGCUAAGGCUGCUUGCCGUCAAUGGCUCGGCUGAACGUCCAAACGAUCCAAUUGGACGCGGCAAACGUUGCUGUCUUUGCCGUCUUCCUGCGCAUGAUUUGUUUUUUUCAAAGUGCGCAUAGAUCGGACGAGUCGGUCGGCGGUAGCAACCAAUGCACUGACACUUGUUUCUCGGUGACCUCAGAUCAGACGAGGCUAC
RNAcentral lists this unclassified non-coding RNA (415 nucleotides) under Trichuris cutillasae. RNAcentral describes it as "sequence contains ITS2". The record is from RNAcentral. Lineage: Eukaryota; Metazoa; Nematoda; Enoplea; Trichinellida; Trichuridae.